UAAAGAGAGGAUUGGUAAUCUGAAAGAUAGGUCCCUGGAAAAAGUCCAUUCUGAAACUCCAAGAGCAGAUUAAAAAAAAAAAAGAAAGAGCUUGAAAGUCAUAAAGGAUAAUGCAAAUAUGUAUAACAUAUAUGAAACUGAUAUACAGACAAAACAAACAGAGGAAAUAGAGAAAGUACACACCAGAAGCCGUAUUUGGAGAGGUAAUUUGUGAGAAUUUCGUAAAAAUGAAAGGGGAACAGCUGUGAGAUAUACUGUGUAAUCCAAACAGCUUAAUAGUAAAGAAAAAUACAGUAUAUAACAAUGGAACUGCUGCAGAAAAGGUACAAUGAGAAAAUUUUUUUUUCUUUCUGAGACAGAAUCUCACUCUAUUACCCAGGCUAGAGUACAGUGUUGCAAUCUCAGCUCACUGCAACCUCUGCCUCUCAGGUUCAAGUGAUUCUCCUGCCUCAGCCUCCCAAGGAGCAAGUUUUACAGGCAAGUGCCACCACACCCAGCCAAUUAUAUAUGUACUUUUUUUUUUUCAGUAGAGAUGGUGUUUCUCCAAGUUGGCCAAGCUGGUCUCAAACUCCUAACCUCAAGUGAUUCACCUGCAUUGGCCUCCCAAUAUACAGGGAUUAUAGGCAUGAGCCACCACACCCAGCCAAUGAGAAAAUCUCAAAAACACCAGACUUCUGGUUUCUGUCAAGAUGAAGUAAGCGCAGUGAAUCUUCUCUCUUCCCAUGAUUACAACUAAGAUUUCUAGGCAAUAUAUGGAAAGCAACUACAUGAGAGCUCUGAAAAGUCAACAAUAGCAAAGGAACUGAAAAGUCAGUCAAAACUUAAAGAACAACCAGUAUGGAGCUCUGUUGGAAGCCUUACCUACUCACAAAGCUGCACUGCUGUUGGAGCAACAUAAACACCUAAAAUUCUGAACAGCAACAACAGGAAAAUUCAAGAUCCUUUUUGGCCAGAGGAACCAAGAGGCCCUAUAUUCCAAAGGGGUAGGGGGCAGGGGGGAGUUCCUCCUACUUUUUUCUUGCUAUUUUUUCCUGAAGUUCAAAGUGAUACAAAACUACAGGUAAGUGCAGGAAAUUAAAAUGCUGAGUGAGAAACUCCUGGGGAGGAGGAAGAACUGGAGAACAGUAUUCCCUACUUAUGUCUGUGAACUGGCUCAAGUUCUGGGCUCACCCUCAUACUGUAUAUGCAGAACAGAUGCAAAUUAGCAUUAAAAUCUUCUAAAUAAUCUAAAAUAUAAACCAAUAUGCAAGUCUCACACUAAACCCUGAGUUCCAGGGUAGACCCAAACGAAACAACAAAGCCUUUGAAAACUAAAUUUAUAUCGGAACCACUGGCCAAAGCAGACUACACAGAAUUUAUAUACUAAAUCUAACCAAGUGGAUUAUCUAACAAAACACAACAUGCCCCACUUACCCACACACUCUCUCACACACAUACAUCCUCCAAAGAAUUUUAAUACUAUCCAAAGUUUCACUGCAAAAUAUUUAAAAUGUAAUUCUUAUUUAUUGCACAUAAAGGAUCCAAAACAAUAUGAUGAAUUCUUGAGAAAAAUGACAAGAGAUACCAAUGCCAGAAUUAAUACUAUUAAAAUAUCCAAAAUACCCAGGUGAUAUGGUUUGGCUCUCUUUCCCCAUCUAAAUCUCAUCUUAAAUUGCAAUUCCCACGUCAAGGGAGGGACCUGGUGGGAGGUGAAUGGAUCAUGGGGGCAGUUCCCCCCAUGCUUUUCUCACAAUACUGAAUGUAUUCUACAAGAUAUAAUGAUUUAAAAGCAUAUGGCAAAUUUCCCUAACUCUUUCUCUCUUGCCACCAUGUAAAACAUGCUCUGCUUUUUCUUCACCUUCCACCAUUAUUGUAAGUCUCCUGAGGACUUGCCAGCCAUGCAUAACUGAGAGUCAAUUAAACCUAUUUUCUUUAUAAAUUACCCAGUCUCAAGUAGUUCUUUUUAACAGUGUGAAAAUGGACUAAUCCAGAAAUUAGUACCAAGAGAAUUGGGGCACUACUAUAAAGAUACCUGCAAAUGUGGAUGUCACUUUGGAACUGGGAAACAAGCAGAGGUUGGAAUAGGUUGAAGGGCUCAGUGAAAAAGAGGAAGACAUGAGAAAGUUUGGAACUUCCUCUUUGUUGAAGUUAAAGAGAUUUGUUGAAUGGUUUUUACCAAAAUGAUAGCAAUUCAGACCAUGAAGACCAGGCUGAGGUCGUCUCAGAUGAAGAUGAGGAACUUCCUGGGAACUGGAACAAAGGCCAUUCUUGUUUUGCUGUAGCAAAGAAACAGGCAGCAUUUUGCCCCUGCCCAAGAGAUCUGUGGAACUUUGAAUUUGAGAGAAAUGAUUUGGGGUAUUCUGGCAGAAGAAAUUUCUAAGCAGCAAAGCAGUUGAGAUUUUAUGUGGCUUUUUCUGAAAGCCUACAGUUAUAUGCAUUCACAAAGAGAUGGCCUCAAAUUGGAACUUACGUUUAAAAAGGAAGCAGAUAAUAAUAUUUUGGAAAAUUUGCAGCCUGACCAUGUGGUAGAAAUGAAAAACCCAUUACCCAGGGAGAAAUUUAAGCUGGCUACAGAAAUUUGCAUAAGUAAUAAAAAGCCAAAUUUAAUCACCAAGACAAUGGGGAAAAUGUCUUCAUGGCAUGUCAGAGAUCUUAGAGGCAGCCCCUCUCAUCACAGGCUGAGAGGCCUAGGAGGGAAUGAAUAAUGGUUUUGUGGGCCGGGCCCAAGACCCCACUACUCUGUGCAUCUUUGUAUUCCAGCCACUCCACUCCAGCCAUGGCUAAAAGGGGCCAAGGUACAGCUCAUACAGUUGUGGCAAAGGGAGCAGGCCCCAAACCUUGGCAGCAUCCAUGUGGUGUUGGACCUCCAGGUACCUAGAAUAUAAAAGUUGAGCUUUUGGAGCUCCAACUAGAUUUCAUAGAUGUAUGAAAACAACUGGAUGUCCAGACAAAAAUUUGCUGCAGGGGCAGAGCCCUCAUGGAGAAUCUCUGCUAGGACAGUGUAGAAGGGAAAUGUGGAGUUGGAGUCUCCACAAAAAGUAUUUACUGGGGCACUGCUAACUGGAGCUGCAGAAAGAGGACCACCAUCCUCUAGACCCCAGAAUAACAGAUCCACCCACAGCUUGCACCAUGUCCCUGGAAAAGCUGCAGUUACUCAGUAUCAGCCCAUGAAAGCUGCCAUAGGGCUAUACCCUACAGAGCCACAAGGGAGGACCAUCCAAGGCCUUCAGAGCCCAAUUCUUGCAUCAGCAUUCCCUGGAUGUGAGAAAUGGAGCCAAAGGGGAUUAUGUUGGAUCUUUAAGAUUUAAUGAGUGUCCUGUCGGGUUUGGAACUUGCAUGGGGCCUGCUCAUAGGUGGAAGGCAUUGGCUUAUUUCAGAUGAGACUUUGGACUUAGACUUUAGGGUUAAUGCUGAAAUGAGUUAAGAUUAUGGGGGACUGUUAGGAAGGCAUGACUGUGUUUUAAAAUGUGAGAUUUAGGAGGGGCCAGGGUCAGAAUGAUAUUGUUAGGCUGUGUCCCCAACCAAAUCUCUUCUAGAAUUGUAAUUCUGGAAGAAUUGUCUUCUUGAAUUGUAAUUCUCCUAUGUGUUAAGGAAGGGACCUUGUGGGAAGUGAUUGGACUAUGGGGUGGUCCCCCAAGCUGUUCUCAUAAUAAUGAGUUCUCAUGAGAUCUGAGGGUUGAAAAGUGUACAGCAGUUCACCACCUUCACACACUCUGUAUCCUGCUACCACAUGAAGAAGGUCCUUGAUUCCCCUUCGCCUUUCACCAUGAUUGUAAGUUUCCGGAAACCUCCCAGUUUGACUUCCUGUUAAGCCUGGAGUCAAUUAAACCUCUUUUAUUUAUAAAUUACCUAGUUUCUGGUAUUUCUUCAUAGCAGUGUGAAAAAUGACUAAUACACCAGGCAAUCUACAGAUUCAAUACAAUCAUUAUCAAAAUGCCAAUGGCAUGUUUCACAAAAAUAGGAAAAAAAAAAAGUACUAAAAUGUAUGUAAAACCACAAAAGACCUAAAUAGUCAAAUCAAUCUUUAGCAAGAAGUACAAAGCUGUAGGCAUCACACUUCCUGAUUUCCAAUUAUGUCACAAAGACAUAAUACACAAAACACUAUGGUAUUGAUGUGAAAAUUGACACAUAGACCAAUGGAACAGGAAAGAAAUCCCAAAAUAAACCCAUGCAUGUACAGUCCAAUAAUUUUCAAGAAGAUGCCAAGAACACAGUGGGGAAAGGAUAGUUUCUUCAAUAAAUGGUAUGGAAAAACUAAACAUUCACCAUAAAAUAAUGAAAUUGGACCCUUAUCUUACACCAUACACAAAAAUCAACUGAAAAGUUAUUAAAGAUUUAAAUGUAAGACCCAAAAUGUAAAAUGCCUAAAAGAAAACAUAGGGAACAAACUCCUUGGCAUUGAUCUCGGCAAUAAUUUUUUGGGUAUGACACCAAAAGCACAGGUGACAAAAGCAAAAAUAAAUACAUGGAGUUAUACCAAAUUUAAAAGCUUCUGCACAAUGAAUAAAGCAAUCAGCAAAAUUUAAAGGCUACCUACAGAGUGGAAAAAUAUUUGCAAACCAUGUAUCUGAUAAGGAGUUAACCUUCAAAAUAUGUAAGAAACCCAUACAACUCAAUAGCAAAUAAUAAUAACAAUAAACAAGAACUCAAUUUAAAUACAGGCUAUAGACUUAUCCAAAGAAGACACACAGAUAGCCAAUAUGUUUAUGAAAAGGCUCUCCUGUUUACAAUAGCAAAGACCUGGAACCAACCCAAAUGCCCAUCGAUGAUAGACUGGACAAUGAAAAUGUGGCACAUAUACACCAUGGAAUACUAUGCAGCCAUAAAAAAGGAUGAGUUUAUGUCCCUUGUAGGAACAUGGAUGAAUCUGGAAACAUCAUUCUCAGCAAACUGACACAAGAACAGAAAAUCAAACACUGCAUGCUCUCACUCAUAGGCGGGUAUUGAACAAUGAACACAUGGACAGAGAGAUGGGAGCAUCACACACUGGGGUCUGUUUUGGGGGAAUAAGGGAGGGACAGCAGUGGAUAGGGAAGUUGGAGAGGGAUAACACGGGGAGAAAUGCCAGAUAUAGGUGACCGGGGAUGGAGGCAGCAAACCACAUUGUCAUGUAUGUACCUGUACAACAAUCCUGCAUGAUCUGCACAUGCACCCAAGAACCUAAAGUACAAUAAAAUAUAUAAAAAAAACAUUCUAGCAAUAUGUAGCAUAACAGUGUCAAUGUAAUUAGCAGGACUGAAAUGAAUAUUUAAUAAUAUUGUAUUGUAAAUUUUGUUGUGUGUUUUUGACAAAAAUGAAUAAUAACUAGAAAAAAAGGUGCUCAACACCACCAAUAAUCAGGAUAAUGCAAAUCAAACUAUCAUAAGAUAUCAUACAUGAUAAAAAAACAGAACCGUUGUGCACUGUUGAUGGAAAGAUUUAUUAAUAUAACCAUUAUGGAAAACAGUAUGGAAUGCUUCCUUAAAAAAUUAGUAACAGAACUACCAUAUGAUCCACCAAUUCCAUUUCUGGGUAUCUAGCCAAGGGAAAUGAAAUCAGUAUGUCAAAGUGAUACCUGCACUCCAAAGUUUGUUGCAGCAUUAUUCACAAUAGCCAAAUUAUCAAAGCAACCUAUGUUUGUCAAUGAAUGCAUAAAGAAAAUGUGAUACAUAUAUUAUUCAUGUACAUAUGAAAUUAUAUAAACCUUAAAAAUAAGAAAAUCCCAUUUGCAAUAAUAUGGAUGAACCCAGAAGACAUUACACUAAGUGAAGCCAGACACACACAAAAAAUAAGCACAAUCUCAUUUGUAAGUGGAAUCUAAAGCAGAGAUUAGAAUGGUGAUCAUCAGAGGUAGAAGGUUGGUGCAAAUAGGGAGAUGUUGGGCAAAGAAUAUCAUGUUUCAAUUAUGUAGGAUAAAUUCCAAUGAUCUAAUGUUUAGUUUGGGUACUACAGAUAAUAUUUUAUUGUACACAUCAAAUUUGCUAAGAAAGUAGAUAUUAAGUGCUCUUAUCACAAAAAACUACUUUGAGAUAAAUAUGCUACUUAACUGUAGUAAUCAUUUCGGUCUAUAUGUGUGUAUUAAAACAUCACACUGUAUACUUUUAUUAAUAAAAUAA
Molecule: long non-coding RNA, 6074 nt
Organism: Callithrix jacchus (white-tufted-ear marmoset)
Lineage: Eukaryota; Metazoa; Chordata; Mammalia; Primates; Cebidae
Source: RefSeq, a predicted model, not a curated record